GGUAAAUCUGCUAUGGCCUACCCGCACACCAAGUUCUACUUUGACUAGCCCUGGGACCAACAGCAGGCUAAAGCUGAAAUUGAUGGCAAAACCCUGCCUGAGAAAGAUGGCUUUUGCAGCAUGGGGAAAUGACAGAAUAGUGACACUGGCAGCAGUCAGUCCAGCUCUCUUCUCAGAUCUACCAAUGCCAGACUUCUUAUUCAGCUCUAAUCCACUCUGCCCUCCUUCUGCCAGAGCCCAAGAAUUGUGCUGCAGAUAAAGAAAUACAAGCGACAUGUAUCAAUGAGCUCCUAGUGCUUCCAAAGAUGUAGACCC
Molecule: long non-coding RNA, 315 nt
Organism: Molossus molossus (Pallas's mastiff bat)
Lineage: Eukaryota; Metazoa; Chordata; Mammalia; Chiroptera; Molossidae
Exons: 3
Source: RefSeq, a predicted model, not a curated record